This 450-nucleotide ribosomal RNA is filed under the name uncultured bacterium. RNAcentral's name for it is "partial 16S ribosomal RNA". It matches the Rfam family "Bacterial small subunit ribosomal RNA", at positions 354 to 796 of the family's 1533-position model. The record is from RNAcentral.
GUGGGGAAUAUUGGACAAUGGGCGAAAGCCUGAUCCAGCCAUGCCGCGUGUGUGAAGAAGGUCUUCGGAUUGUAAAGCACUUUAAGUUGGGAGGAAGGGCAGUAAGUUAAUACCUUGCUGUUUUGACGUUACCGACAGAAUAAGCACCGGCUAACUUCGUGCCAGCAGCCGCGGUAAUACGAAGGGUGCAAGCGUUAAUCGGAAUUACUGGGCGUAAAGCGCGCGUAGGUGGUUUUGUAAGUUGGAGGUGAAAUCCCCGGGCUCAACCUGGGAACUGCCUCCAAAACUGCAUGACUAGAGUACGGUAGAGGGUAGUGGAAUUUCCUGUGUAGCGGUGAAAUGCGUAGAUAUAGGAAGGAACACCAGUGGCGAAGGCGACCACCUGGACUGAUACUGACACUGAGGUGCGAAAGCGUGGGGAGCAAACAGGAUUAGAAACCCUAGUAGUCC